UCAUUAAAAAGGAGUUUAUAAGUCUCAGGAAUGGCCUCAGUGUCUCUCUCUUUCUCAAGCAGUCAAAUCCUCUCUUGAAAAUGUCAGGAAACAUUAAGUCAUCUUAGAUUGAUAUCCCCAUGGCAUUCCCACUUAUGGAUGCUAUUGGCCCUGGGUCUUGGAGCAAGAAAGAAGCAUAAAUCACUGGCAUUGGCAGAUGGAUUAUUGGUUGCUCUACAUUUGCACAUGUUCCUGAUCUGGAAGACAAAUACAGGAGUGGAAACUCUGCUGUCUCCCCCAGGAAAGCAUCCCGGA
Pogona vitticeps (central bearded dragon) is the source of this 294-nucleotide non-coding RNA. NCBI's taxonomy places the organism in Eukaryota, Metazoa, Chordata, Lepidosauria, Squamata, Agamidae. The record is from RefSeq and is a predicted model, not a curated record.